Molecule: transfer RNA, 74 nt
Filed under: Camelus bactrianus (Bactrian camel)
Lineage: Eukaryota; Metazoa; Chordata; Mammalia; Artiodactyla; Camelidae
Also listed under: 3 other names
Rfam family: tRNA
About the family: Transfer RNA (tRNA) molecules are approximately 80 nucleotides in length. Their secondary structure includes four short double-helical elements and three loops (D, anti-codon, and T loops).
Source: Rfam by way of RNAcentral
GAGGGUAUAGCUCAAGUGGUAUGAGUGCAUGCUUAGCAUGCACGAGGUCCUGGGUUCAAUCCCCAGUACCACCU